CUCCCUGCACACUUUCUCCCCUUUCUGGCUUUCUCUUUUCCCAACAGAGGCAGCUGGCGGCGGUGGCCACCAUGGCCGACGGCGACGGCACGCGUUCCAGCCACCUCGGCCUCGGAACGGGCCAACAAAAGGCAUCUAUACCUCCCGCGCACGCCUAGGACUCCUCUGGACUCUCUAGAACUGUCCCACGACACAGGAAAAAUACUGCUCACCUUCGUACCCCUGCCUGCACUACGACUGCUGAAACUGAAGAACACGGCGACCGGCGGUGACAAGGGAUGGCUUGAGCUGGAGUGGGCUCAAACGUGUUUUUGUCAUGUUGGUGGUGGUGUGGCUGCAAGGAUUUGAUGGAUGAUGAUUCAAGGGUGGAGGAUUUUGGUGAGAGGUGGAGCUCGGCGUGGGGAAACAGAAUGGCGGGAAGUCGAAGAUGACCCCCCUCCUGGCGAUAUUUAUUUGAAUUCUCACCGUUAUCCACUCGCCGCCUCUAGCCCUCCUGCUUAUGCGUGGAUCCUGUGCAUACUCGAUGCGUGGGCACUUUGAACUUGCCCGCGAAUUCACCUGGCUGCUUCGAGGAAGAAGAUAAGGAUGAGGUGUUACUGUCGUUCUCUGAAUCGACUUUGAACCGUGAACAACCUGAUCUUUGGACCUCCUGAUCUCCAAAUUUCUUAUAUAAACAUGAAAAUAGUCCAAAAUAACUAUUGUAGACCUAUUAUUCCUCUUCAUUUUCUGUUACGUGCAUGAGUCUUGAAUCUGCCCCAACCCUCUCAAAAGUCAACUCAAAUAGGUCGGGUUCAGGCUAUAUUUCAGAGUUUCCAGCACUUCUAUUCACACUGGCCAUCUUGGGGUCCAAGGAUUCUCCAAAUUUCAUCACUGAACAUUGAAAUCGUACAAAAUAAAAGUUGUAUAUGGUUCAUCCAACUACCUUUUUCAUGCUAUCCAUUUUUCUUGAAUCCAGCUCUAACCUGUUAAAAGAGCUCUGAACAUUGCUGCUGUUCACACUGAGUUAAAAUUGAAUGCUUCUGAACCUGAAACUUACAGUGCAGUUUUCUCCAAUUUAUUCCAUUGAACUUCAAAAUCUCCAAAAAGCAAAGUUGUAGAUUUGACAAUUCUAUACAACUUUUAUUUCAGUCACAUUUUCAUAUUUAGUGCCUAACAAAUCUAAAAAUUGCUCCGACCCACGACACAGGAAAAACGCUGCUCACCUUCGCACCCCUGAAAUUUACAGCUCAAUGUCUCCCAAUUUCGUUAUCAUACUUCAAAAUCCCUUGAACGCAAAGGUAUAGAUUUGAUAUUUAUCUACAACUUUUGUUUCAUGCACUUUCUUUGAUUCAGUCUCUAACCUAUUUACAUUUGGACCUGAACAUGUUGGCUUUUAACUGAAAUACAUGAUCUUCAGUUAACCUGUUUAAACCUGCCACAUGUACGUCUGGAUAUCUCCAUAUUUUUGUUACUGAACUUCAAAAUUGUCCAAAGCCAAAGUUGUAGAGGAGAUAUUUCCCUAAAAUUUUCAUGUUGGCGCUUUCUCUUAUUUUGCUUUAAUCAUGCUCAAACAUAACUCUGAAUAUGGCUGUUUUACUGAAAUUCAACGUUUCAGUCUUUUACCCAAACUGGUAGGCGCUGAAUUUAAAUUCUAACACCUUGGCAUUGUUUCCCAGUUGAUCAAAUGGCAUAUCUGCAAUGCCUUAGUUUCAUAGUUCAAGGACCAAAAUCGGAUGAUUGUGAUAGUUCAGGGUUGAAAAAUAGACUUUUCCCAAAUAUAUAUGAGCGAUCAAAGGGAUGCCCAAAGUAUUGGACUGUGCUUCGUUUCAUACUGGAGCUGUUGACUCUGAAGGCUAAGCAUAGUUGGUCAGAUGGAAGUUUCGAUGGUCUGUUGCGUAUCUUGGUUUGGUUGCUUCCAAAGCUAAAUAAAGUGCCAGCAAACAAAUACAAAGCGAAGAAGUUUGUCAGCUCAUUCACGAUGGGUGCGGAAAGAAUUCACGCAUGUCCAAAUUAUUAUAUUUUGUAUCGUGGGGAUACUUUCAGAGACUUGGGCAAAUGCCCUGUCUAUUCUGCAUGUUCCGCCUUAAGGAACUUGGCAUUGAAAUGGUGAAAGGAUCAAGUAUGCUGAUCCUCUAGCUAUUUGCGAGGCCAGGCACAAGGUGCCAAACAUGUGGGAAAACAACUAUGAUGUGUUCAAGCACUGUGAAACGCCUAAGGAGAUAGCUCGGGAAUGAUAAGAACAGCUCAAAGAGAAUAUGAAGACGGUUGCGGCCUACAUAGCAAAGAUGAUGCAAGAAUGGCAAGACGUGGCCGAUUGCAUUUUUGCGCAUACAAUGUUAGAUUGCCUUUUCAAUACAACCGAAGUGUGGAAGAAUCCUCAUAUUUGACUCCUUGGAUUGGCCAAAGAAUAAUUGCAAGGAUUUCUUAUUCAUCCUCAGAAUAGCUUACCAGCACUAUGUUAAAUUAAGAGGUGCCCAUGACCCUGAGAAGAAAAAAGAAAUGACUCUACACACAAACUUCUCAUGCCACAAGCAUCCUGUUUGUUCCAUGUAUUGCUGGUACUAUAUGUGCGAGCAUCUCAGGGUGCAAGGGCGAUACACAACUGAUCCUGAACGUGACAAUCCACCAAGGAACAUCGGGCAACUCCAUGGGAGAGAACUUUUAGAAGUAGUUGCCGAUUUAUGCAGUUUCAUUAUGCACGAAGUGGUCAACCCAAGGGGCACAUUUUAUAGUAAAGACCACGAAUUAGCAACAGAUCCUAAGUAUCAUGGUCUUCGUGAGUGGGAAAACAAGAAGCAUCGUGCCUCCUCUAGUAGCAUUGGUAAAUAGGAGAAAAAUAUGCAUUGAGCUUCAAUUUUGAUGAUGUACUAUACUCAUUAUGCUUUCUAAUGAUAUAUAUGUGUGUGUGUUUUAUUUCUACA
Panicum virgatum (switchgrass) is the source of this 2900-nucleotide long non-coding RNA. RefSeq lists it as uncharacterized. NCBI's taxonomy places the organism in Eukaryota, Viridiplantae, Streptophyta, Magnoliopsida, Poales, Poaceae. The transcript has 5 exons. The record is from RefSeq and is a predicted model, not a curated record.